GCAGCACGCAUCCGGCGCAACACUUCGGCCCGCGCGUUGGGUCUAAACAUUUUCCUUAAUAUAAUGACUCAGAAAAUCAAAUAUGACAAUUAGGCAGCCAUAGGCAUCAUUGUUCCCUAACACCAAAGGCUCUGAAGACUAAAUGCAGUCCCCUGUUGCAAAUCUGAAAACCAUGACCGUAACUCCGUAAGGUAAGACAUCGACGACAAAUAUAAUGGAAUAAUGCACGUCCUUUAUGCAAAGGAUUCACUACAAAAUGACAGUAUUGCUCCCACAUAACGCAAUGAAAAUUUGUACUGAUUGCUCAUAUGCUCUAGGAUGGAGUAGGUGUCUACAGUUCUUCGUGUGUUACGGCAAAAAGGAAUACUCCCGGCACGAGAGAAACGAUCAAACAAAUCAUCAUUGUAGAGGUGUCCUGCAGUUCUUUAUCCUGGUACACAAAUCGCAUCAUCAAGAGCGAAACCACCAUUGCCAAGCUAUACGUAGCUGCAAUACCCUGGGAAAUCAUAGUAAACCUGUCAGAACAACAUGACAGCGCAUUACUCUUGGUAUUCGGACGAAACAGAUGAGCUGAAUAACUGAGUAAAUUCAGACGUGAAGCACUAAACAUCUGAGGCAUCUAACCAUUGAAACCAAGCAAUAGAGCUAGUGUUAGAUAAGAGGGUCAUCAAGGAAGGAGAUAUAGUACGUAGUCGUACCCUAACAAAGAUUGCCCCGAAUCUCUUCUCGGCGGCGGUUGGUUGGGUCGGAGGUGGUCGUCGGCCUUCUUCCAUCCCGCGGAAGAGACGAUCAUCUUGAAUCGCUGGAGUUCCCGGCGUGUGCAACAACGGAGCAGAGCGAGAUUGGUCGCGUUGACGGGACGAUUUCAUCAUAAGCAGGUGACGACCCGCUAAGAAGAACGGGAAUCCAGCCAUGGAUGGAACGAGCCGGCGCCUGACGUCAGGAGAGGAGAUGGAUCGCCGUGAAACCUCAAGCGCAGCCAAGGCAAGGCAGGCCGAUGAGGAGUCUUCCUUGUAGGGAGAGGGCGUGCUCGGCUUUGACUCUAUGGCUUCUGUUUAUUGGACACGAAUAUUGAUCUGACGUUCGAUCGAACGCAUCCCUGGAGAGAACGAAAGGUUCGUCCAAGGGCAGUACUCCGGCCCAAUCGUUUCG
Molecule: long non-coding RNA, 1152 nt
Filed under: Hordeum vulgare
Lineage: Eukaryota; Viridiplantae; Streptophyta; Magnoliopsida; Poales; Poaceae
Description: long non-coding RNA (HVUL_LNC016692)
Source: RNAcentral